Long non-coding RNA from Gopherus flavomarginatus (Mexican gopher tortoise), 545 nucleotides. RefSeq lists it as uncharacterized. The record is from RefSeq and is a predicted model, not a curated record. NCBI's taxonomy places the organism in Eukaryota, Metazoa, Chordata, Testudines, Testudinidae. The transcript is spliced from 3 exons.
AAAGGAGAGCGGAAAAGCAGCAAGUGGGGUUAGGAUCCCCCCUCGCAUCCCACACAGGCAGCUGAGAAAUAUACUGAGAUUUUUUUUUUUACUGUUGCUGGAGCCGGCAUCUAACCCCUUCACCUGUCCCUCCUCCCCUGCUCACUGGCCCCCCUGCAAAGAGGCAGAUGGGAGCUUUAAUGAGCCCUCUGCGGUACCGUGUCUCUGGAGAUAUUUAACUCUGCCGGCAUGCAACAAACCACAGAUACAAAUCGAGUAUUAAAGAGUUGGCCUUACCUGGUACGCCGCUGACACCAGAGUUCAUUACAAUGGAAAGCAUUUAAACAAGCAAAUGCAGCUGGGCAUUAUCUGCUGUUUGGUUCUGCAUUUCAAUCAGCUCAGAAGAUGCAACUAGACAGUCUCAGCUGGAUACAAGAUUCAUCUUCGCUUGCUGACUUUUAGUAGUUGUUACUGUGCAUUGCUCAAGAACUGCCACGUUCCGCCCCAGAGGCGGUUGCUCUUCAGCUGAGGAUUCAUUCAUUUGCUGCUUGGUGUCUUUGAUGGAA